This 255-nucleotide ribosomal RNA is filed under the name Podarcis lilfordi (Lilford's wall lizard). Its description in RNAcentral is "Eukaryotic small subunit ribosomal RNA". It matches the Rfam family "Eukaryotic small subunit ribosomal RNA", at positions 43 to 432 of the family's 1831-position model. Lineage: Eukaryota; Metazoa; Chordata; Lepidosauria; Squamata; Lacertidae. The record is from Rfam by way of RNAcentral.
AUUAAACUAUACACGCAUAACUACACAUGGGUGUUAAAUAGAAACUGUGAACACCUCAUUAAGUCAGUUAUGCUUCCUUUGGCCACUCCACUGUGCUAAUUCUAGAGCUAAUAGAUGUCAAUGAACAUCUAGAACUUUCUGAACCCCUCCUGGGCUGUGCAUAACCAUGGUGACCAAUGGGGGAAUGAGGAAUUGGGUUUAAUUCUGGAGAGGAAGCCUGAGAGAUGGCUGCCAUAUCCAAGGAAGGCAGUGAUG